AUCCAUCUGAAGAGUCCCAAAUAGGACGAAAUGCGCUUUAUCCUUGAU
RNAcentral lists this non-coding RNA (48 nucleotides) under Trichobilharzia regenti. The record is from RNAcentral. Lineage: Eukaryota; Metazoa; Platyhelminthes; Trematoda; Strigeidida; Schistosomatidae.